Molecule: non-coding RNA, 85 nt
Organism: Felis catus (domestic cat)
Lineage: Eukaryota; Metazoa; Chordata; Mammalia; Carnivora; Felidae
Source: Rfam
GCCUGGGGGGCUCAGUCGGUUGAGCGUCUGACUUCAACUCAGGUCACGAUCUCACGGUCAGUGGGUUUGAGCCCCGCAUCGGGCU